This 253-nucleotide ribosomal RNA is filed under the name uncultured bacterium. RNAcentral's name for it is "partial 16S ribosomal RNA". It matches the Rfam family "Bacterial small subunit ribosomal RNA", at positions 524 to 776 of the family's 1533-position model. The record is from RNAcentral.
GACGUAGGGCGCGAGCGUUGUUCGGAUUCAUUGGGCGUAAAGGGUGUGUAGGUGGCGCCGUAAGUCGGGUGUGAAAUCUCGGGGCUUAACUCCGAAACUGCAUUCGAUACUGCGGUGCUUGAGGACUGGAGAGGAGACUGGAAUUCAUGGUGUAGCAGUGAAAUGCGUAGAGAUCAUGAGGAAGACCAGUGGCGAAGGCGGGUCUCUGGACAGUUCCUGACACUGAGACACGAAGGCCAGGGGAGCAAACGGG